RNAcentral lists this long non-coding RNA (1127 nucleotides) under Daphnia pulicaria. RNAcentral describes it as "uncharacterized LOC124340577, transcript variant X3". Lineage: Eukaryota; Metazoa; Arthropoda; Branchiopoda; Diplostraca; Daphniidae. The record is from RNAcentral.
UAGGGGAGGGGUCAUCAAAGUUUUGAGACGAGUCAGACAACUUAAUUCCGUUUAUUUCAUUUCUAUCGAGACGCUAUUCGAGGAUGGUCACGUUAGUCGUUGCGGGGUACUUUCUUUCCUGAUUUUGUUCUUCAUAAAAAAGGUUGGUGGAGAUUUUUCUCAACGUGCAGUGCCAAGUGAACAAGAUGCCUGUGAUGUAUAAUUUUUGUGAGAUGAAAGAGUAAGAGUGAAGAAAACAGGAAAUCUGAAAUUGAUUCCUUAGUCAGUCUGGUGUAAGAGCUGAAAAUGGUGUUGAUGUCUGGUGUGCAAUGGUGUGGCAGUCAUUUUCUGAUAAGAGAGAUGUGCUGAAAUGGAUCUUCAGUAGACUUGCAGUUCAACAUCAGACUUCAAUUUACCAUGGUGUCCAUGCAGAGUUGGGCUGUUGUGCUAAAUAGUUGGUGUUGCCUGGCAUUUUGUUGGUGUGUUCUCUUGCUACCUGUACCCAUGUUGAGGUUUGAUGUAUACUCUGCUUCUAAAUGAGACAACUUGUGAAAAGAGUCAGCUUGUGAAGAGAUGAAAAAAAUUCUUAUCAAGGUUUCUUGUUCAGUUUGAGCUGUUAAUGGUGUUGUCUGGUGUGCAGUGGUUUUGCAGUAAUUCAGUUGAGAUGCCCUGAGAUGGAUGAUGAACUGCUGAGACUUCUCUCACAUCAUCUUUUUCUAUGGAGACGCUGUUCGAGAAGGCCAUUGCAGGCAACUUUCUGACAUUGUGUCUUAUAAAUGAUCUUGGUGACGACGUGAUCAUCAAUCUUCUACAUGCAGUUUUUGUUAUCAACAAUUGGAGAAGUUUCGACGGAAAUGUGUAGCAGUUUUGCAGUCCUACUCCUGUUCAAGCUGUUGCUUUCCUGAAUUUUGCUGGAGUCUUUGAAGUAGCUGAACCUGAAGUUAUGAUGCUGGUGUUAUCCUGAAAUAGCUGAUGUUGGUGUUAUCAAGUUACUGCGGCAGUGCAAUUCGUGUUUAUAUAAUUAUUAUAUCCAUAUAGUAUGUGAUUGCAGUAACCUCAAGCUAUUUCGUUAUCCAUUGUGGCAUGUUGCAAUCUGAUGUAUGUAUAAACAGCAGUGUUUCCUGAUAUCAUCCUCACCCAAAUAUAUC